AUACGUAGGGUGCAAGCGUUAAUCGGAAUUACUGGGCGUAAAGCGUGCGCAGGCGGUUUUGUAAGACAGAGGUGAAAUCCCCGGGCACAACCUUGGAACUGCCUUUGUUACUGCAAGGCUCGAGUACGGCAGAGGGGGAUGGAAUUCCGCGUGUAGCAGUGAAAUGCGUAGAUAAGCGGAGGAACACCGAUGGCGAAGGCAAUCCCCUGGGCCUGUACUGACGCUCAUGCACGAAAGCGUGGGGAGCAAACAGGAUUAGAUACCCUGGUAGUCCACGCCCUAAACGAUGUCAACUGGUUGUUGGGGAUUUAUUUUCUCAGUAACGAAGCUAACGCGUGAAGUUGACCGCCUGGGGAGUACGGCCGCAAGG
This 370-nucleotide ribosomal RNA is filed under the name uncultured bacterium. RNAcentral describes it as "partial 16S ribosomal RNA". It matches the Rfam family "Bacterial small subunit ribosomal RNA", at positions 523 to 893 of the family's 1533-position model. The record is from RNAcentral.